GACGAACGCUGGCGGCGUGCUUAACACAUGCAAGUCGAACGGAAAGGCCCUUCGGGGUACUCGAGUGGCGAACGGGUGAGUAACACGUGGGUGAUCUGCCCUGCACUUUGGGAUAAGCCUGGGAAACUGGGUCUAAUACCGAAUAGGACCACGCGCUUCAUGGUGUGUGGUGGAAAGCUUUUGCGGUGUGGGAUGGGCCCGCGGCCUAUCAGCUUGUUGGUGGGGUAAUGGCCUACCAAGGCGACGACGGGUAGCCGGCCUGAGAGGGUGACCGGCCACACUGGGACUGAGAUACGGCCCAGACUCCUACGGGAGGCAGCAGUGGGGAAUAUUGCACAAUGGGCGCAAGCCUGAUGCAGCGACGCCGCGUGAGGGAUGACGGCCUUCGGGUUGGAAACCUCUUUCACCAGGGACGAAGCGUAAGUGACGGUACCUGGAGAAGAAGCACCGGCCAACUACGUGC
RNAcentral lists this ribosomal RNA (463 nucleotides) under uncultured bacterium. Its description in RNAcentral is "partial 16S ribosomal RNA". It matches the Rfam family "Bacterial small subunit ribosomal RNA", at positions 28 to 508 of the family's 1533-position model. The record is from RNAcentral.